This 464-nucleotide ribosomal RNA is filed under the name uncultured bacterium. RNAcentral describes it as "partial 16S ribosomal RNA". It matches the Rfam family "Bacterial small subunit ribosomal RNA", at positions 339 to 795 of the family's 1533-position model. The record is from RNAcentral.
CUACGGGUGGCUCCAGUGGGGAAUUUUGGACAAUGGGGGCAACCCUGAUCCAGCCAUUCCGCGUGAGUGAAGAAGGCCUUCGGGUUGUAAAGCUCUUUCGGCAGGAACGAAACGGUGGGGGCUAAUACCCUCUACUAAUGACGGUACCUGAAGAAGAAGCACCGGCUAACUACGUGCCAGCAGCCGCGGUAAUACGUAGGGUGCGAGCGUUAAUCGGAAUUACUGGGCGUAAAGCGUGCGCAGGCGGUUUUGUAAGACAGGUGUGAAAUCCCCGGGCUUAACCUGGGAACUGCGCUUGUGACUGCAAGACUUGAGUGCGGCAGAGGGGGGUGGAAUUCCACGUGUAGCAGUGAAAUGCGUAGAGAUGUGGAGGAACACCGAUGGCGAAGGCAGCCCCCUGGGUCGACACUGACGCUCAUGCACGAAAGCGUGGGUAGCAAACAGGAUUAGAUACCCGCGUAGUC